CAGUCGCCGCGGUAAUACGUAGGGUGCGAGCGUUAAUCGGAAUUACUGGGCGUAAAGCGUACGCAGGCGGUUUUGUAAGACAGGCGUGAAAUCCCCGGGCUCAACCUGGGAAUGGCGCUUGUGACUGCAAAGCUAGAGUGCGGCAGAGGGGGAUGGAAUUCCGCGUGUAGCAGUGAAAUGCGUAGAUAUGCGGAGGAACACCGAUGGCGAAGGCAAUCCCCUGGGCCUGCACUGACGCUCAUGCACGAAAGCGUGGGGAGCAAACAGGAUUAGAUACCCGGGUGUCCCUGUCUCUUAUACA
This 301-nucleotide ribosomal RNA is filed under the name uncultured bacterium. RNAcentral's name for it is "partial 16S ribosomal RNA". It matches the Rfam family "Bacterial small subunit ribosomal RNA", at positions 509 to 808 of the family's 1533-position model. The record is from RNAcentral.